UCCACCGUGGCCUAGUGGCUAAUGCUGUUGUUUUUGAAUUUUCAAACCCGGGUUCGAUCCCCACGGCGGUCAAA
Caenorhabditis brenneri is the source of this 74-nucleotide non-coding RNA. The record is from the annotation of a GenBank genome assembly. Lineage: Eukaryota; Metazoa; Nematoda; Chromadorea; Rhabditida; Rhabditidae.